UGCGGCUCGCGGUGUCUGCGGCGGGGGUGGAGGAAUCUGGUUGCGGCCGCCGGCGCUGACCGCGAUCCCCGAGCGGCUUCUCUGGGCUUAGAGCCUCGCUGGGCGGUGCCGCGCCCUGUCCGGGGUCGGUUCGCCCCGCGGGACGCUCGGGUGCCUGUGGCUCUAGCGAGCAGGUCUGGGCGGGCCGCGCCGCGCAUGGCGGCCGAGCCCUAGUGGGGAAGCGGGUUGGUCACUGUCUCCCAGGCGUGUCCGGCUGCCACGAGGCCGGGUGUCCCAUCAGGCUCGGUAACAUCGCGCUUCCCCGAGGGCCCUAGAGACCCUCCGGCAGAGCCAGCGGGGCCGGCUUCGUUGAGACUACGCUCCGUCUGCCGCUGUGGUGUGUGACGGAGCAAAGCGGGGCGGGAAGAGCUUCUAACCACCUUCCCGCUGGUCGCUAUCAAGACCUAGCCGAUACCUGUUAGUGAUUCAAAUCACCUGCUCUGAAGAAAUCUGAAUGUGGCUUCAGUGGGAAUUUUAAGGACAUCUUAUGCACCCCUAAUGUUGCAGAUGUUCCUGCUGGGGAAGCCAAUCUCAUCCCAUUAUGAAGACAUGUAAUAUAUGACAAAAAUCAGUAACAUUUAAGCAAAGUUGCAGAGUUUAUACAAGUCCCUCUAAUUUUUUUUGUUCUUGUAAUCUAAAUUGGAUUGCCUAUUAUAAUGGGCACGUAGUUUCUGACUUGAUUUGUAGCAUACUUCCAGUGAAAUACUUACUCUAUAGUUCUUGUACUGUUGACAUUGCUCAUGCUACAUAAUACGUUAGUCAAUACCACACAACUGACCCUUGUGUAACUCAUGUUGGUUUCAUGAGAUACAAAACUAGCUAUACAUAAUCUCUGGAGAAAUAAAAGGACUAUUAGUAAACACUUGUGAAAUAUGCUAAGAUUAACUGUAGUCACUCACUUGCCUAUUUCCUUUUUUAUUGAAAGAAUACAAACGCUUUCUGCAACUCCUCACACAACUGUCACUAGUAGUUAAAGGCUAGCAUCAAUUCUUGUAUUCCAGAGCACAAGUGAGAUUAGGAAACUCCAUUUAAACUUCAUUUUGAUUAACUUCUGGUAUUGGAGUGACAAACUGAAGUGGCUUGAGUGGCAUCUAGAACCCAUCAAUGGAAUUAUUUCUCUUAUCUGUUUUCCAUUAUGUUCCCUGAAAUGUAAAUAAGAAUGACCUAUACUGGCUUUUAUGAGAAAUGUAUAGUGCUAGCACAAUAACAGUAUGAUUUGGCUAAAGCUACUAGGUGUUGCUACGGUAUAAAUGAUAAUUCUAAACUCGAUGCUAAUAAAAAUAGUGAAAAAUGA
Long non-coding RNA from Malaclemys terrapin pileata, 1333 nucleotides. RefSeq lists it as uncharacterized. The record is from RefSeq and is a predicted model, not a curated record. The transcript has 2 exons. NCBI's taxonomy places the organism in Eukaryota, Metazoa, Chordata, Testudines, Emydidae.